GCCUGCCCAGUGACUCUGUUCAACGGCCGCGGUAUCCUAACCGUGCGAAGGUAGCGUAAUCACUUGUUCUUUAAAUGAGGACUUGUAUGAAUGGCACCACGAGGGUUAUACUGUCUCCUUUCCCCAAUCAGUGAAACUAAUCUCCCCGUGAAGAAGCGGGGAUAUGAAUAUAAGACGAGAAGACCCUAUGGAGCUUUAAACUAAUUAACAAAUACUAACCUCCUACCCCCCUUCAGAGCGUACACACUUAUUUUAGCACCAUGAUUAUUAGUUUUAGGUUGGGGUGACCGCGGAGCAUAGACUAACCUCCACAUUGAACGGGGCACACUCCCUGAGCAAAAAAGCUACAACUUUAAGCACCAAUAAAUUGACAUUAAUUGACCCAAUAUUUUGAUCAACGAACCAAGUUACCCUAGGGAUAACAGCGCAAUCCACUUCAAGAGCUCCUAUCGACAAGUGGGUUUACGACCUCGAUGUUGGAUCAGGGUAUCCCGGUGGUGCAGCCGCUACUAAAGGUUCGUUUGUUCAACGAUUAAAACCCUACGUGAUC
This 550-nucleotide ribosomal RNA is filed under the name Nyctimantis galeata. Its description in RNAcentral is "partial large subunit ribosomal RNA". It matches the Rfam family "Bacterial large subunit ribosomal RNA", at positions 1857 to 2605 of the family's 2925-position model. The record is from RNAcentral. Lineage: Eukaryota; Metazoa; Chordata; Amphibia; Anura; Hylidae.